GACGAACGCUGGCGGCGUGCUUAACACAUGCAAGUCGAACGAUGAACCCGGAGCUUGCUCUGGGGGAUUAGUGGCGAACGGGUGAGUAACACGUGAGUAACCUGCCCUGGACUCUGGGAUAAGCGUUGGAAACGACGUCUAAUACCGGAUAGGACCUUGGAUCGCAUGAUCUGGGGUGGAAAGUUUUUUUGGUCUGGGAUGGACUCGCGGCCUAUCAGCUUGUUGGUGAGGUAAUGGCUCACCAAGGCGUCGACGGGUAGCCGGCCUGAGAGGGUGACCGGCCACACUGGGACUGAGACACGGCCCAGACUCCUACGGGAGGCAGCAGUGGGGAAUAUUGCACAAUGGGCGAAAGCCUGAUGCAGCAACGCCGCGUGCGGGAUGACGGCCUUCGGGUUGUAAACCGCUUUUAGUAGGGAAGAAGGGCUUCGGCUUGACGGUACCUGCAGAAAAAGGACCGGCUAACUACGUG
This 472-nucleotide ribosomal RNA is filed under the name uncultured bacterium. RNAcentral describes it as "partial 16S ribosomal RNA". It matches the Rfam family "Bacterial small subunit ribosomal RNA", at positions 28 to 507 of the family's 1533-position model. The record is from RNAcentral.